Cynoglossus semilaevis (tongue sole) is the source of this 686-nucleotide long non-coding RNA. RefSeq lists it as uncharacterized. The transcript has 3 exons. Lineage: Eukaryota; Metazoa; Chordata; Actinopteri; Pleuronectiformes; Cynoglossidae. The record is from RefSeq and is a predicted model, not a curated record.
ACAAAGAGUUCUGAUUGGAUUAAUGCCCUGAGUGUCGAGACAGAGGGAAAAACAACUUCAACGUAGAGAAGGACAAACACGGGGACCAUUCCUGAGGGUUCCUCUCUGAGUCUGGAGUCCAAAGUCUUCAAAACCUGGUUCACAAAGGACGACGCUGGGAAAGAUCAAAGAUCCAGUGAGCAGCAGCUCCAGGAAAAAAAUACCUUGUGGUCUAGGAGCACAGGAAGGCCGACUGAGGUAUGCAAAUGACCAUCUCUGAAUGCAAAACACGUCAAACUUAGAGGCAGAUCUUACAGCAUCAGGAGACAGAACAGCUUUAGCAGGUACAUAAACCUCAACAGUUUCCAUCUGGAGAUCAAUAAAGUAUUUUUGAUUCUUAUUGUUUCCUUUUCCAAAGGAUUGAGCAAUAAUGAAAGUUUGUACUUCAAUAAAUGGGGUUUUCCUGAUGUGUUCUGAUGUACGUAGGUACUGCAGUACACCUUUAGAGAAGCUACGUAUAAAUUGUGUAUAACACAUACAGUACCUAUCACUUUGGAUUUGUCCGUAAUGAUUUACCACAGGAGAUCAUGUGCCUCCCUCUGCCUCCUUCUCUUUAUCCUUUAGUCCCUUCAAGAAUCCAACUGCUUACAUGACUCAAACAUACUAUUUAACAUAUUUUGUGUAAUAUUUCAUUUGUACUUACUGCA